Molecule: ribosomal RNA, 868 nt
Filed under: uncultured archaeon
Lineage: Archaea
Description: bacterial SSU rRNA
Rfam family: Archaeal small subunit ribosomal RNA
Source: RNAcentral
CCGCUAUUGGAGUUCGAUUAAGCCAUGCGAGUCGAGAGUCCUCGGGACUCGGCGUACCGCUCAGUAACACGUGGGUAACCUGCCCUAUGCUGGGGAAUAACCUCGGGAAACUGAGAAUAAUGCCCCAUAGCCCACUACGCCUGGAACGGUGAGUGGGUCAAAGCUCCGGCGGCAUAGGAUGGGCCUGCGCCGUAUCAGGUUGUAGGGGGUGUAAAGUACCCUCUAGCCAUCAACGCGUACGGGUGUUGGGAGACAUUGCCCGGAGAUGGAUUCUGAGACACGAAUCCAGACCCUACGGGGUGCAGCAGGCGCGAAAACUUGGCAAUGCGAGCAAUCGUGACCAGGGAACUCCAAGUGCGUAGGGUAAGACCUACGCUUUUCUUGACUCUUCAAAGGUCUUGGAAUAAGGGGUGGGUAAGGACGGUGCCAGCCGCCGCGGUAAUACCGGCGCCUCAAGUGGUAGUCGCUUUUAUUGGGCCUAAAACGUCCGUAGCCGGUCUGGUGCAUUCGUGGGUAAAUCAACCCGCUCAACGGGUUGAAUUCUGCGAGCACGGCCAGACUUGGGACCGGGAGAGGUGUGGGGUACUCUCAGGGUAGGGGUAAAAUCCUGUCAUCCUGAGAGGACCACCUGUUGCGAAGGCGCCACACUAGAACGGAUCCGACGGUCAGGGACGAAACCUAGGGGCACGAACCGGAUUAGAUACCCGGGUAGUCCUAGGUGUAAACGCUGUGGACUUGAUGUUGGGGGCGCUCCGAGCGCUCUCAGUGUCGAAGCGAAGGUGAUAAGUUCACUGCCUGGGGAGUACGGUCGCAAGGCUGAAACUUAAAGGAAUUGGCGGGGGAGCACUGCAACCUGAGGAUUGUGCGG